GUGCUCUCUUUGGCAGCACAUAUGCUAAAACUGAAAUGAUACAGAGAAGAUUAGCAUGGCCCCUGCACAAGGAUGAUAGGCAAAUUCAUGAACUGUUCCAUAGUAAA
Pan troglodytes (chimpanzee) is the source of this 107-nucleotide small nuclear RNA. The record is from Ensembl. Lineage: Eukaryota; Metazoa; Chordata; Mammalia; Primates; Hominidae.